CACGUAGGCGGUGAAUCGGGUUGAAAGUGAAAGUCGCCAAAAACUGGCGGAAUGCUCUCGAAACCAAUUCACUUGAGUGAGACAGAGGAGAGUGGAAUUUCGUGUGUAGGGGUGAAAUCCGGAGAUCUACGAAGGAACGCCAAAAGCGAAGGCAGCUCUCUGGGUCCCUACCGACGCUGGGUGCGAAAGCAUGGGGAGCGAACG
This 204-nucleotide ribosomal RNA is filed under the name uncultured bacterium. Its description in RNAcentral is "partial 16S ribosomal RNA". It matches the Rfam family "Bacterial small subunit ribosomal RNA", at positions 568 to 774 of the family's 1533-position model. The record is from RNAcentral.